AGCUCCAGUGGCCUAGUGGUUAGAGCAUCCGCCUCGGAUGCGGGAGGUCGGGGGGUUCAAACCCCGGCCGAGUCA
This is a non-coding RNA of Potamilus streckersoni, 75 nucleotides long. The record is from the annotation of a GenBank genome assembly. Lineage: Eukaryota; Metazoa; Mollusca; Bivalvia; Unionida; Unionidae.